Molecule: long non-coding RNA, 6395 nt
Organism: Neofelis nebulosa (Clouded leopard)
Lineage: Eukaryota; Metazoa; Chordata; Mammalia; Carnivora; Felidae
Exons: 7
Source: RefSeq, a predicted model, not a curated record
AGUUGGGUGUUUUUACAAGACAUUAUUUUUUUUGAAGGUUGGGGUGGGGAUGAAGGUUGAAAAACGUAACUCGACACAGGUGUGCAUGGGUUCGGCUAUAUUUGGGCCGCGGCCUUUCUCUCCUUGGCCUAGACCGCACUCGGCCAUCACUUGUCUGCGCACCUGAAUCCACUGAGGAUGCAACCCAGCGAGCUGGGUCUACUCAACCCUCGGACAUUGAACCUGUUGAACUUGCUGAAGUUAAAGCCCUCCCAGGAUGCAAGUGGUCCUAAAAACAGGUACUAUCUAGAAGUGAGCCAUCCGAGUUGUUGCCUUCAAGAUACUUGCACUCCCGGGGAGGAGAAAAAAUAAGCCAAUAAAUAAAUAGUAAAAACAUAAAAAUAUAAAGGAUGACAGCUUUCUUUCCCAGACAGGUUACAAAUUCACUGAAUGGAGAGGCUGCAUCAUCUUCGUUGUGUGGCCCGUCACCCUAAGUGCCUAAUGAGUGAAAGACACUUGAUAACAAAAUCUUCCAAAGAUGCCCGGUGCUCAGCACGGAGGAUGUGCACAGCGGUGUAGAGGCUCCAGCCCUGUGAUGGUCUCCAUUCUGGGCUCGCCUGGCCCCAGCUUCCCUGCUGAGGUGCUGAAAAGGGAGCUCCGAUGUCCAAGCUUGAAUGUUUCAGGAUGAGAUGCUGUGCAGGUAGAUUGCUACAGGUGGGUUUGGUGGGUAAGUAGAGGCAGUGUGGUGUGGCAGGGCAAGCAUCGGACUCUGGGCUGUUCUCAGCGCUGUCACAAAUUCAUUCACUGAGGGACCUUGGACCCUUCGUACCUCUGUUUCCUUUUAUACAAAAUGGAAAAAUAUAUUUUAUGGUGGCGUUCUGAGAGUCCAGUGAGACCCAUGUGUAUGAAAAUGUUUUUAGAAUUAUAAAAAGCCAAGGGCUCCUGGCUGGUUCAGUCAGGGGAGCAUGAGACACUUGAUCUCAAAGUUGGGAGUUCAAGCCCCACGUUGGGUGUAGGGAUAACUUAAAAAAAAAAAAUCAAAUCUCAAAAAAAAAAGAAUUCUAAAAAAAGCAUAGAAAUAUGUGUUUUUAUAGUUAGCUCUAUAUAUCACCUCCCUCAUGGGUAUUCCCUCCCUCCCCACAAUUCUAGCACACACCCAGUAGUCAUCUACCAUUCACUUUUUGGAUAACCUGACCAAAAUAUAUCACAUCUAACCUACUCUCCUUCUCAUGGUCCAUGUUCCUCUACACGCUCUUAAAUAGAUGCACAGGGGGUGGGGGGAGAAUUAUAAGGCACAUUUAUAGGAUUAUCCACUCUUGCCCCUAAGCUCCAACUUCCCAUUAAAGAAGGGACUCAAGGCCAGCCUAUGAUAAAAGCUUGUUUUUAUAAAUGCAGUAAAAUAUUUUUAGCAUUGUAUUUAAAGAAUCUUAACAUGGAUGCAAUAAAACAUACAUUAAUUGUAAAACCUGUUUUCAAAGAAAAUACCUCAUUUUAGAUUGUUUCACAUGCCUAGACUUGGGAGAAAGAAAAAAAGUUGGAUGAGAUUAAGAGUUAAAAUUGAUUGAACAUCACUAUGAGCAAAGCACUCUGCUAAGUAUUGUCAGAUCUAAAGUUAAAAGCAUGACUCAUUCAAAUAUAAAGGGAGCACAUGUCAGGGGCACCUGGGUGGCUCAGUUGGUUAAGUGUCCACUUCAGCUCAGGUCAUGAUCUUGCAGUUUGUGAGUGCUAGCCACGUGUCAGGCUCUGUGCUGACCGCUCGGAGCCUGGAGCCUGUUUCGGAUUCUGUGUCUCCCUCUCUCUCUGCCCCUCCUGGGCUCGUGCUCUCUCUCUCAAAAAUAAACAUUAAAACAAAACAGGGAGCACGUGUCAAAGAUUUCUUAACUCAUGAAUGAGGGAACAGACAAGAUAGUUCAAAAAGAAUUAGGAAGAUGGAAGUAUUUAUAGGGGCUGAGCAAGAAAGAGGAGCACAUGGAUAAAAUUUGUAAUUUAGGUACAGACCUGGUUCAUGUCCUAGAGGGCAGUAACAGGAUAAUCUUGGGAUUAUCUUUUCAACCCUGAAAGCAGUUUCAUGUCUUCUGGACAAAAUCAAUUUGCAUUUCUCUUGGACAAGAAUCAUUUGCAUUGCUAGCACUUUUCUACAAGUUAACUUUUACACUUACAGAAUUCCAAAAUCUCCUUAUGGUGAGAUUGAGUAAAUAGCAAUUCAAACAAAAGUACCCACCUAGAGAAUCAGAUAAUUCACCAAACAGGUCUACACACAACCCUGGCUUAACACUGAAAAAGACUUGCACGUUUCCAAAUUUUUAGAUAAUUUUAUUUUUAAAUUUUUAUAUUUUUAUUUUUUUAAUGUUUAUUUAUUUUUGAGAGAAAGAGACAGAGUGUGAGUGGGAGAGGGGCAGAGAGACAGAGACACAAAAUUGGAAGCAGGUUCCAGGCUCUGAGCUGUCAGCACAGAGCCGGAUGCGGGGCUUGAACCCACGAAGAACCCACAAACCGUGGGAUCAUGACCUGAGCCGAAGUCGGACACCCAACUGAGUGAGCCACCCAGGCACCCCUGGAUACUUUUAUUUUUAACAGCACUUAUGCAUAGUGUAUGGAAGCAUUUAAUAUUUAUUAUUUUGUGCGACCUACACAAUUCUGUAAAGUGGUUAUUAUUAAUUCCAUUUACACGGAUGAGGAAACUGAAAAUCAAGGAGACAAAGAAAUUUGUUCAAAUUCACUGGAACAAAUGAUUACCCAGACCUGUUAAAUUAUGAAAUCCUUGCUUUUCUUGCUACAGUGUAUAUAUCACCCCCCAAAAAUGUUUUAAUUGUCUUUAUUGAGAUAUAGCAUACAUAUGGCACAGCGCAGAUAUCUUAAGUACACAUUUUAAUGGCUUUUUACAUAUAAGGACGUAUGUAUAUGUACGUGUCUUUUGUCAAACACAUAUUACCAUGACCCAGAUCAAGAUGUUAAACAUUUGUAGUGCCCCAGAGGUUCUCAUGCCUCUUUCUACUCAAUCCACCAUCACCACUAACCCCAGGUCACCCUUUUUUUUUUUUCUACAUCUAUCACCAUAAAUUAGUUUGGCCUGAUUUUCAUAAAAUGGGUCAUACAUACAGUAGCUGCUGUUUUGUGUCUGGUAUCUUUUGCUCAUAAUUAUGCCUGUGGCAUACACCCAUGUUGUUGCAUGCGGUAGUAUUCUUUCCAAAAAAACUGUUUACAAAGUUCAUUGCAUGAAUAUACCCAAACUUAUCUAUUCUCUUGUUGAGGGACCCUUGAGUUGUUUCCAAUUUUUGGCUCUAAGGCAUAAAGCUAUUAAGAAUAUUUUUGUAUAUCCUUUCUGUGAGCAUGAGCAUAUAUUUUUGUUGGCUGUAUACUCCGGAGGGGAGUUGUUGGGUGGUACAUUUAUAUAUUUUUGGUUUUAGUAAGUUCUGCCAAAUAUUUUUCCAAAGUGGUUGCACCAGUUUGCAUUCCUACUACCAUAGCAGUGUAUGAAGAUUCCAGUAAGUUCACAUCCUUAACAACACUUAAAUCAUUACUCUUUAUUUUUAACUAUUUUGUGAUAUGAAUAAGUAUUCCUCUGCAUUUAAAUUUGGUCCCUGUUAUAAAAGAAAGAAAUAAUAUGACAGUUCUAUAAAGCAUUAGGUCUGAGAAAGUGAUAUCAAAUAAUAUUAGCUCUGUCUGGAGUGCGUGGAUGGAUCCCAGUGCUUCCAAUUUGGGGGUUAUUUUAAUAGGUGAGUGUAACAUACCGAAAUAAAACUAUGUCUUUUUGAUACAUUCCCUCUGUUCAUUUAGGGUGCCAUGAUUUUGAUGGCAUUUACCAAUCAAACCUAUUUGAUAAAAAUGCUCAGGGAACCUGGGUGGCUUAGUCAAUUACAUGUCCGACUUCAGCUCAGGUCUUGAUCUUGAGACUCGUGAGUUUGAGCCCCACCGCUCUCUAUUGUCAGUGCACAGCCUUUGUCCGAUCCUCUGUCUCCCUCUCUCUCUCUGUCCCUCCCCCAUUUGCGCACUCUCUCUCUCUCAAAAAUAUAUUUUUUUAAAUGCUUAGUAAUAUUAGAAAGCUUCUUUAAAUUUAGCACUGUAUAAAAAGACUAAGUUAGGAACCUAAUUACUACUAUGUAAAGGACCAUGCAUAUUUGAAUAAAUCUAACCAUAAAUAUAAACAAGCUACAAUUAAUAUACAGAGAUCUAACUUCAGAAUGGGUCCCUGUACCAAGGAGAUAGUAAACACAUAGUGCUUGAUAUAUGUUUAUGAAUGAUAUUGAUUGCACACCUCUUCUUUCUUUAUCAGUUCUGAGUGGGGCUUUACCUUUUUUGUUGUUGUUGUUGUUGUGUUUUGUGUGCUGGUCCACAUUAGAUCAUUACCUAAAUUGAGGCAGACUCACUAAUUUACAGAAAAUUUGCAGUCUCCACAGAUACCCUGGAUGUACAUCUUAAACAGUCUACAACUAUUUCUAAAUCUGUAGUUAUUUUUAUUCCUACUCCACAAAUUAAUAUAAUUUAGGACCCUAGGGAAGACUGCUUUCCUUCAAUGGCCAGACUUUGAAUUCACUAUCUUUUCUUUUUACAACAAUGGGUGAAUCUUUGAUAGACUGCUAUGAUUCGGGGCAGAAAAAACAAACAAACAAACAAAAAAAAGCUGCCUGGCUUUAAAUCCUAUUUCUAUUACUUAACCAUGUGACCUGUGGUAAGUAAUUUAACCUCUGUACACUUCAGUUUCCUCAUCUGUAAAAUGAGAAUAAUCACUCCAACGUAGGAGGGUUGAGAAUUAAAUGAGCUAUUAUUUGUAAAGCAUGUAGAACACUAUCUGAUACACAGCAACAAUAUACAGACAUUUGUUUAGUAAAAUAAAUUUGAAAUCUUACCUCAAAGUGUCUUCUACUCAAUCACUCAAAAGACUUCUCUUUGGAUUCCUGUAUGCUCUCUUCAAAUAUCCCCCUCUGGAGCCAUACGUCCCCCCAUGCCAGCUUAUGCACAAUCCUCUCAAAGAAGAACAAGAUACUCAGUGAUAGUGACCCCCAAAACACACAACAAUGUGCACGGAUCUCCUAUGCAUUAAGGAAGCACUUGAAAUGUGUGGUAGUUGUUUUGCAACAAUUACUGACAUCUGGCAACUAGGGAUCUGUUAAGGACUCAACGAGAUGUAAACGUAGCUGUAAGAAUGGGCAAGCAUUACGAAACUUCUUGUUCCUGUACUGUUUCCGCUGGUGUCUUUCCAUCGAUUGCAUCCCUUGUGACACCUAUGAAAUGUUCCACACGAGAGCUAACUUCCACAGAAAAUCAGAAGUAGCUUCUAGAACCUGUGAGGCUGCCCGCCCCCACCCCCCUCCCGGGGCAGAGUCUCCACUCUCCACUCUGGAUGCGGGCCCCAGCUACCCCGUUCCCCAGCUCCCGAGGGACUUCUCCCCUCUGUGAUGCCCCUCUCUGGCCCUCCCCCUUUCAUUCGUCUCCAACUCUCCUAAAACCCUCUGCAUCUUCAGCUUUGCUCCUCAGCCUAGGUGGUCACUUACUCCACUGCUGCAGCAUCUUUCCCGGAGACAGCUGAAGACAGGCUCUGGGUCCAGUGAACAAUGAUGAGAGAAGAAAGCUACGUUUGCCCUUCAGCCCCCAGGUCUAGCAUCCAGGAGAAGAGUCUGACUUUUCACACCACUCCAAGGGACUGCCUUUUGGCAUGACGCCAAUGCAUGUAGCUAGAAGAGAGACCCCCUUCCUUCUAUGUAAGUUUCAUAAACAAGUCCCUGAAGCCUCUCCUACCUUGUAGUAUUCGGAGCCCUGAUACUGGGUUCAGUCACAUGCACGUGUGAUGCCAAACACGUAUUACCUCCCACCAUAGCAAACACAGAUUAAUUGGAGCCCUCGCAUGUCUGAUCAUUUUUUCUAAAAGUAGAGGUCGUGGACUGACGCUGAGAAGUGGCCAGAAAUGUCUAAUAGGAGACCAGUUUAGUAAGAAGAUAGGUAGUUCUAUAGAGGUCCUCCACUGGUAGGCAAAUCAGCCAAACACUAUAACAACUGAGAUUUGUGGGGCGCCUGGGUGGCUCAGUCAGUCAAGCGUCCGACUUUGGCUCAGGUCACGAUCUCGCAGUUGGUGAGUUCGAGCACCAUGUCGGGCUCUGUGCUGACAGCUCAGAGCCUGGAGCCUGCUUCUGAUUCUGUGUCUCCCUCUCUCUCUGCCCCUCCCCCACUCACACUCUGUCUCUCUCUUUCUGAAAAAUAAGUAAGCAUUAAAAAUUAAAAAAAAAAAAAAAUAGGGGCGCCUGGGUGGCUCAGUCGGUUAAACAUCCGAUUUCAGCUCAGGUCAUGAUCUCACAAUCUGUGAGUUCAAGCCCCUCAUCAGGCUCUGUGCUGACAGCUCAGAGCCUGGAGUCUGCUUCAGAUUCUGUGUCUCCCUCUCUCUCUCUGCCCCUCCCCUGCUCAUGCUCUGUCUCAAAAAUAAA